Molecule: ribosomal RNA, 253 nt
Filed under: uncultured bacterium
Lineage: Bacteria
Description: partial 16S ribosomal RNA
Rfam family: Bacterial small subunit ribosomal RNA
Source: RNAcentral
UACGUAGGGUGCAAGCGUUGUCCGGAAUUAUUGGGCGUAAAGAGCGUGUAGGCGGCCAGGUAGGUCUGCUGUGAAAACUCGAGGCUUAACCUCGAGCUGUCGGCGGAAACCAUCUGGCUAGAGUCCGGAAGAGGAGAAUGGAAUUCCCGGUGUAGCGGUGAAAUGCGCAGAUAUCGGGAAGAACACCCGUGGCGAAGGCGGUUCUCUGGGCCACUACUGACGCUGAGAAGCGAAAGCAUGGGGAGCGAACAGG